AUUUUCUUUAAAUUCAAAGGAUUUGGCGGUGGUUUAGUCUAAUCAGAGGAACCUGUUUUUUAAUCGAUAUGACACGUUAAAUUUUACUUAUUUUUGUUUUUAGUUUGUAUACCGUCAUUAUUAGAUAAUUUUGUAAAGAAUAAAUUAUUAAGGUUGAUUUAUUUAGUAAAAUUAGAUCAUGGUGCAGCUUAUAAAUAAGUUAAAGUGGGUUACAAUAAGAUUUACUUAUAACGGAGUAAGGUAGUCAGAGCCCUUAAGAAGGAGGAUUUGGUUGUAAUAUAAAUUUAGAAAUUAGGAGACAGAAGCUCUAAACUGUGUACACAUCGCC
This 328-nucleotide ribosomal RNA is filed under the name Potamonautes ecorssei. RNAcentral describes it as "partial 12S ribosomal RNA". Lineage: Eukaryota; Metazoa; Arthropoda; Malacostraca; Decapoda; Potamonautidae. The record is from RNAcentral.